Molecule: ribosomal RNA, 466 nt
Filed under: Vreelandella stevensii
Lineage: Bacteria; Pseudomonadati; Pseudomonadota; Gammaproteobacteria; Oceanospirillales; Halomonadaceae
Description: partial 16S ribosomal RNA
Rfam family: Bacterial small subunit ribosomal RNA
Source: RNAcentral
CCUACGGGUGGCUGCAGUGGGGAAUAUUGGACAAUGGGCGAAAGCCUGAUCCAGCCAUGCCGCGUGUGUGAAGAAGGCCUUCGGGUUGUAAAGCACUUUCAGUGGGGAAGAAAGCCUUGGGGCUAAUACCCUCGAGGAAGGACAUCACCCACAGAAGAAGCACCGGCUAACUCCGUGCCAGCAGCCGCGGUAAUACGGGAGGGUGCGAGCGUUAAUCGGAAUUACUGGGCGUAAAGCGCGCGUAGGCGGUCUGAUAAGCCGGUUGUGAAAGCCCCGGGCUCAACCUGGGAACGGCAUCCGGAACUGUCAGGCUAGAGUGCAGGAGAGGAAGGUAGAAUUCCCGGUGUAGCGGUGAAAUGCGUAGAGAUCGGGAGGAAUACCAGUGGCGAAGGCGGCCUUCUGGACUGACACUGACGCUGAGGUGCGAAAGCGUGGGUAGCAAACAGGAUUAGAUACCCCUGUAGUC